AAUCCACCUGAAUUGGAUAUGAUCACCCGCUGAACUUAAGCAUAUCAGUAAGCGGAGGAAAAGAAACCAACAGGGAUUUCCUUAGUAACGGCGAGUGAAA
Molecule: ribosomal RNA, 100 nt
Filed under: Aphelenchoides sp. K1 WY-2008
Lineage: Eukaryota; Metazoa; Nematoda; Chromadorea; Rhabditida; Aphelenchoididae
Description: partial 28S ribosomal RNA
Rfam family: Eukaryotic large subunit ribosomal RNA
Source: RNAcentral